CACACAACAACCAAACCACCACUGCUCUGUUUCCUGUUGCGGCGCAGGAGUCAUAGCAAGAACCAACGAGCCACCCCCCGCCUCUGUCACGAACCAACCACCAUCCGGAGUCGCCUCUAGCUUCGCUCGCCGGAGCCAUAUGAUGAAAAUGAGAUUGCUGCCUUGCCUUCUCUUCCGGGUGACUUGGAAUUCCUGAAGACUGGCUUGAAUGUAGAAACUAUUAAGCAUUAUUGGGAAUUGUUAUGAAUGUAAAAACCUCCGUCUUCACUAUUCAGAUUGCACAUUCAAAGGACUUGAUAUGAUAUCACACCUUAUCAGGCACCGAAGUUGAAUGCAACACAAGAAAAGAAGGAAGAAGGGGAGGCGUCAAACACAGCUCAAGGCGAAGGUGAAGAAGAUGAGAAAGCUGAGGGUGCAGCGGUCGCGGCUCCUCGUAGAAUGACAAGACGCGACAUCUAAUUAGCAUUAUGUCUGUAAUCGAAGCUGGGUUAAUCACUCCCCUGAUCCAUCUCCUUGAGACUGCUGAAUUUGAUAUAAAGAAAGAAGCUGCAUAGGCGAUUGCAAAUGCCAAUUCUGGCGGCACUAAUGAACAGAUCAACUUAAUAGUUUAUAAGAACCACUGCCCUUUGAAAUCACGUGUCCAGCAAAGGAACAAGAAGCUUUGAUCAUUUGAGGUAACAAAGAAUCAGGAGGUUGGAAAGCUAUCUACGGACGGAGCACGGGUUCGAAGCAGGUCGCAAGGUCGCACGCAGAGCGUAUCCAGCAAUCGGAAGUAGAUACAUCCGUGUCAAGAAACUGGGCAUGAAGAACCGAUGAGGCAGUUGGGGCUGUGCGGCGUGAGAGGAGAGUUUUAUCCGGCGUGACCAGAAAUGGUGGAUUGUGGUUACUAUGGGUGAGAAAGCCAUGGUCUAGGUAUGAACUCUGUCCGAAGAUUCGAAAAGUAGAUGACUACAUGGAAAACCAUAUCUUAUUAUGAAGCAUCAGUUGCAGGGAAUGAAAAAGUGGUGUUUAUGCAGUCUACCUACAUGUUUAAUUAUCGAGUGGGUUAUUGCUACAAUUCAUAGAUUCUGGAUGAUAACUUAGGUGGCAAGAUCGACAGGCCAGACAGGUCGAGUAAAGGGUCAUAUUUAAGUGCAGAAAAUGGUGGAGUCGGAAAUGGUGGAGCGGUGCUGGGUCGAUUAAGGCGCACGUGGUUGGUUCCGAUGACCCUUGAUUCAUAUAUCUGGUUGUAGGUCAAGUUAUGGAUAGAUAUGGUGAUUGAUAGUUGAUGUUUCUGUUGAAAUGGGUGUUUUUCGGCGAAUGGUGAGAUAAGUAGGUUCAAAGUGACUAUGGUGAGGUUUUCGGGUGACCAACCAACAUUUCAGUAAAAAAGAUUUAACUCGGGUCAGCGGACGGUCAUCAGGAAUGUAUAAAUGUACGCUCAAGUCGUUUAGAUAAUUUAAUGUAAUUAUCAUCAACCUCUGUUCAACGAGGUGCGUUAAGGCUGUACACUGUUGAAGCCGAGAGAAAAGGGAAAGGCUAUAGCUGAUACGGGCGUUAUUCAGCUGCAGCAAAGAGGGCACUAGCGCUUGAUGGGUCGGAUAUGCGAGUGACUCAACUAUGUCUUCCACAGAGCAUUCCUAAGUGUACACAGUUAUUUUUUUUCAUUAUUAUUAUUAUUGCAGAAAAUGGAGUAAUAAUGACAUGGGGAUGGGGCGACCGAUGAUUUCUCUUUCUUUUGAUCGAGUUUCUAGGGGAAAUCUCUUAUGUAUCUGUUAUCGAUUGGAUGAGAUGUGGGUUUGACUUGAAUAAAACUCUAUAUGUUAUUGUUUAUGAUUGACUUUUAUUUAUGC
Molecule: long non-coding RNA, 1832 nt
Filed under: Helianthus annuus (common sunflower)
Lineage: Eukaryota; Viridiplantae; Streptophyta; Magnoliopsida; Asterales; Asteraceae
Description: hypothetical non coding rna
Source: RNAcentral